UAUUAUACUGCUGCCCUGCCAUCCCCUGCCUAAUUUAAUUAAUUCAAGCUGUCAUGACUUGACCUAUAAUUUGUACUUUCUUCCUCCACACAUCAUUACUUACUCCCCCCCAAGCAUUUCCUACUCUCCUUCACGUGCCCCCAUGCGUGUGUGAAUUUCAUGCGUUCUUCUUUCUUUCUUUCUUUCUUUCUCUUUUUCUUUUUCUAUUUUAAACUUUUUUUGCUUUAGAGGAAUUACUGAUUACCAUUUGCCUCCCUGAAACUUAUUAAAUUACACUAGAAGCUAGUGCUGAUGCACAGUUGCUCUUUGAUGGAAGUUUUCAUAGUUUUUUUUUUUCUCUGGUUUCUUUGAUGAAUCACAAUAACACCCAACUUAAUGAAACUGCUUUUUAAGCUAUAGUAUAGAAAUGGGGUGGUAUAGAGUUUGAUUGUGGUGGGUUUUUGUAGAAUGAAGAGUUUUAAGUGAUGAUCUAUGAAGUGUUUGUGAAAAUGCCUGAAAGAGAGAUUAUUUCGUGGAGCAUACUUACUGAUGGAUUAGGUUAGGUAGAGUGUGGACUUUGUUUGUGAAAAUAGCGUAAAAGAAUUGCAGUUCCAUGGAACAAGCUGAUGGUAUGAGUUUAUUUUUAUUUUUAAUUCUUGGACUUUGGUCAGUGAUAAUUGACUGGGAGAGUGAAAUUGAGAUUUUGAUAGUGGUGGAGCUUAUUGAAUAUGAAAGGGUAG
This 719-nucleotide long non-coding RNA is filed under the name Ricinus communis (castor bean). Its description in RNAcentral is "long non-coding RNA (RCOM_LNC003727)". Lineage: Eukaryota; Viridiplantae; Streptophyta; Magnoliopsida; Malpighiales; Euphorbiaceae. The record is from RNAcentral.